UUGGGAGCUCACUGGGUUCGGAGUUAUGGGAACUCCGAAAUUAAGCGAGUCUGGGCUAGAGCAAUUCAAGGAUGGGUGACCUACUGGAAAGUGCUCGUGAGUUCCUAAA
RNAcentral lists this ribosomal RNA (109 nucleotides) under Prunus dulcis (almond). The record is from RNAcentral. Lineage: Eukaryota; Viridiplantae; Streptophyta; Magnoliopsida; Rosales; Rosaceae.